Molecule: ribosomal RNA, 480 nt
Filed under: uncultured bacterium
Lineage: Bacteria
Description: partial 16S ribosomal RNA
Rfam family: Bacterial small subunit ribosomal RNA
Source: RNAcentral
GAUGAACGCUCGCGGCAGGCCUAACACAUGCAAGUCGAGGGGUAGAAGGAGCUUGCUCCUUUGAGACCGGCGCACGGGUGCGUAACGCGUAUGCAAUCUACCUUGUACAGGGGAAUAGCCCAGAGAAAUUUGGAUUAAUGCCCCAUAGUAUAUAACCUUCGCAUGUUGGUUAUAUUAAAGUUCCAACGGUACAAGAUGAGCAUGCGUCCCAUUAGUUAGUUGGUAAGGUAACGGCUUACCAAGACGAUGAUGGGUAGGGGUCCUGAGAGGGAGAUCCCCCACACUGGUACUGAGACACGGACCAGACGCCUACGGGAGGCAGCAGUGAGGAAUAUUGGUCAAUGGUCGCAAGACUGAACCAGCCAUGCCGCGUGCAGGAAGACGGUCCUAUGGAUUGUAAACUGCUUUUAGACAGGAAGAAACCCUCCCACGUGUGGGAGCUUGACGGUACUGUAGGAAUAAGGAUCGGCUAACUCCGUG